This 821-nucleotide ribosomal RNA is filed under the name uncultured Bacillota bacterium. Its description in RNAcentral is "bacterial SSU rRNA". It matches the Rfam family "Bacterial small subunit ribosomal RNA", at positions 70 to 868 of the family's 1533-position model. The record is from RNAcentral. Lineage: Bacteria; Bacillati; Bacillota.
AAAGUCCCCUUCGGGGGACAAGUAGAGUGGCGCACGGGUGAGUAACACGUAGGUAAUCUACCUUCGGAUGGGGAAUAACAACCGGAAACGGUUGCUAAUACCGCAUAAUGCAGCGGCACCUAAUGGUGACAGUUGUUAAAGCGGGGGAUCGAAAGACCUCGCGUCUGAAGAGGAGCCUGCGGCGGAUUAGCUAGUUGGUAAGGUAACGGCUUACCAAGGCAACGAUCCGUAGCCGGCCUGAGAGGGCGGUCGGCCACACUGACACUGACAUACGGGUCAGACUCCUACGGGAGGCAGCAGUCGGGAAUUUUGGGCAAUGGGCGAAAGCCUGACCCAGCAACGCCGCGUGAAGGAUGAAAUCCCUCGGGAUGUAAACUUCGCAAGAACGGGAAGAAUAAGUAGGGGACAAUACCCCCUAUGAUGACGGUACCGUUUGUAAGCUCCGGCUAACUCCGUGCCAGCAGCCGCGGUAAUACGGGGGGAGCAAGCGUUGUUCGGAUUUACUGGGCGUAAAGGGCGCGUAGGCGGCCAGCACAAGUCAGUUGUGAAAUCUCCGAGCUUAACUCGGAAAGGUCAACUGAUACUGUGCGGCUAGAGUGCGGAAGGGGCAACUGGAAUUCUUGGUGUAGCGGUGAAAUGCGUAGAUAUCAAGAGGAACACCUGCGGCGAAGGCGGGUUGCUGGGCCGACACUGACGCUGAGGCGCGAAAGCCAGGGGAGCGAACGGGAUUAGAUACCCCGGUAGUCCUGGCCUUAAACGAUGAAUGCUUGGUGUCUGGGGUUAUAUAGUCCCCGGGUGCCGUCGCUAACGCUUUAAGCAUU